GAUGAAGAACGUAGCGAAAUGCGAUAAGUAAUGUGAAUUGCAGAAUUCAGUGAAUCAUCGAAUCUUUGAACGCACAUUGCGCCCCUUGGUAUUCCGAGGGGCAUGCCUGUUCGAGCGUCAUUAUAACCCCUCAAGCUCAGCUUGGUGUUGGGGCCUGCUGCACUGGCAGCCCUUAAAAUCAGUGGCGGCGCCAUCUGGCUCUAAGCGUAGUAAUACUUCUCGCUAUGGAGUCCUGGUGGAUGCUUGCCAUCAACCCCCAAUUUUUCUAUGGUUGACCUCGGAUCAGGUAGGGAUACCCGCUGAACUUAAGCAUAUCAAUAAGCGGAGGA
Molecule: unclassified non-coding RNA, 329 nt
Filed under: soil metagenome
Description: partial contains 5.8S ribosomal RNA, internal transcribed spacer 2, and large subunit ribosomal RNA
Rfam family: 5.8S ribosomal RNA (bases 1-120)
Source: RNAcentral